GAUGAACGCUGGCGGCGUGCCUAAUACAUGCAAGUCGAGCGAACAGACGAGGAGCUUGCUUCUCUGACGUUAGCGGCGGACGGGUGAGUAACACGUGGAUAACCUACCUAUAAGACUGGGAUAACUUCGGGAAACCGGAGCUAAUACCGGAUGAUAUAUUGAACCGCAUGGUUCAAUAGUGAAAGACGGUUUUGCUGUCACUUAUAGAUGGAUCCGCGCUGCAUUAGCUAGUUGGUAAGGUAACGGCUUACCAAGGCAACGAUGCAUAGCCGACCUGAGAGGGUGAUCGGCCACACUGGAACUGAGACACGGUCCAGACUCCUACGGGAGGCAGCAGUAGGGAAUCUUCCGCAAUGGGCGAAAGCCUGACGGAGCAACGCCGCGUGAGUGAUGAAGGUCUUCGGAUCGUAAAACUCUGUUAUUAGGGAAGAACAUAUGUGUAAGUAACUGUGCACAUCUUGACGGUACCUAAUCAGAAAGCCACGGCUAACUACGUG
This 497-nucleotide ribosomal RNA is filed under the name uncultured bacterium. RNAcentral's name for it is "partial 16S ribosomal RNA". It matches the Rfam family "Bacterial small subunit ribosomal RNA", at positions 28 to 507 of the family's 1533-position model. The record is from RNAcentral.